RNAcentral lists this non-coding RNA (30 nucleotides) under Mus musculus (house mouse). The record is from RNAcentral. Lineage: Eukaryota; Metazoa; Chordata; Mammalia; Rodentia; Muridae.
UNCCAGGAAGAGACUAGAGUUGUGACAAAG